This 492-nucleotide ribosomal RNA is filed under the name uncultured bacterium. RNAcentral describes it as "partial 16S ribosomal RNA". It matches the Rfam family "Bacterial small subunit ribosomal RNA", at positions 29 to 507 of the family's 1533-position model. The record is from RNAcentral.
AGCGAACGCUGGCGGUAGGCCUAACACAUGCAAGUCGAACGGCAGCACAGUAAGAGCUUGCUCUUACGGGUGGCGAGUGGCGGACGGGUGAGGAAUACAUCGGAAUCUACUUUUUCGUGGGGGAUAACGUAGGGAAACUUACGCUAAUACCGCAUACGACCUACGGGUGAAAGCAGGGGAUCUUCGGACCUUGCGCGAUUGAAUUAGCCGAUGUCGGAUUAGCUAGUUGGCGGGGUAAAGGCCCACCAAGGCGACGAUCCGUAGCUGGUCUGAGAGGAUGAUCAGCCACACUGGAACUGAGACACGGUCCAGACUCCUACGGGAGGCAGCAGUGGGGAAUAUUGGACAAUGGGCGCAAGCCUGAUCCAGCCAUACCGCGUGGGUGAAGAAGGCCUUCGGGUUGUAAAGCCCUUUUGUUGGGAAAGAAAAGCAGCAGGUUAAUACCCCGCUGUUCUGACGGUACCCAAAGAAUAAGCACCGGCUAACUUCGUG